Molecule: ribosomal RNA, 463 nt
Filed under: Iris oratoria
Lineage: Eukaryota; Metazoa; Arthropoda; Insecta; Mantodea; Eremiaphilidae
Description: partial 16S ribosomal RNA
Rfam family: Bacterial large subunit ribosomal RNA (bases 326-463)
Source: RNAcentral
GUAUUUUGACUGUGCAAAGGUAGCAUAAUCAUUAGUCUUUUAAUUGAAGGCUGGUAUGAAUGGUYGGACGAGGUAAAAUCUGUCUUAWGUUAAUUUGUAAUUGAAUUUAGAUUUUAAGUAAAAAGACUUAAAURAUAUUAAGGGACCGAAGACYCUAUAGAGUUUAAUAUAUGUAGUURUAAUUGAGUUUAUAAUUAAUUUUUGAUUAUUAUGAAAUUUAUUUAAUUGGGGUGAUURGAAGAUACAAUAAACUCUUCUUUAUUUUAAAUAUUUUUAUUAGUUAAAUGAUCCAUUAAAAAUGAUUAAAAGAUUAAAUUACCUUAGGGAUAACAGCAUAAUUUUCUUUGAGAGUUCAAAUCGAGAAGAGGGGUUGUGACCUCGAUGUUGGAUUAAGAUAARUUUUGGGUGUAGAUGUUCAAAUAUUAAGUCUGUUCGACUUUUAAAAUCUUACAUGAUCUGAGUU